UUACCAGCUCGAACGGACUGAAAGUUCUUCGGACUGAGGUGCUGCAUGGUUGUCGUCAGCUCGUGCCGUGAGGUGUUGGGUUAAGUCCCGCAACGAGCGCAACCCUAUCUCAGUUGCCAGCAAUGGGACUCUGGGAGACUGCCUACGCAAUAGGAGGAAGGCGGGGACGACGUCAAAUCAUCAUGGCCUUUAUGCUGGGCUACACACGUGCUACAAUGGGGUACAAGGGGCACCGCGAGGGGAGCAAUCCCAAAACCGUCCCAGUUCGGAUCGGAGUCUGGAACUCGACUCCGUGAAGGUGGAAUCGCUAGUAAUCGCGAUCAGCACGCGCGGUGAAUACGUUCCCGGACCUUGUACACACCGCCCGUCAAGCCAUGGGAGCUGGGGGCCGAA
Molecule: ribosomal RNA, 393 nt
Filed under: uncultured bacterium
Lineage: Bacteria
Description: bacterial SSU rRNA
Rfam family: Bacterial small subunit ribosomal RNA
Source: RNAcentral